UUUUAUGGAGAGUUUGAUCCUGGCUCAGGAUGAACGCUGGCGGCGUGCCUAAUACAUGCAAGUCGAGCGAACGGACGAGAAGCUUGCUUCUCUGAUGUUAGCGGCGGACGGGUGAGUAACACGUGGAUAACCUACCUAUAAGACUGGGAUAACUUCGGGAAACCGGAGCUAAUACC
RNAcentral lists this ribosomal RNA (176 nucleotides) under Staphylococcus aureus. RNAcentral describes it as "partial 16S ribosomal RNA". It matches the Rfam family "Bacterial small subunit ribosomal RNA", at positions 1 to 170 of the family's 1533-position model. The record is from RNAcentral. Lineage: Bacteria; Bacillati; Bacillota; Bacilli; Caryophanales; Staphylococcaceae.